RNA transcript from Macadamia integrifolia, 1464 nucleotides. RefSeq lists it as uncharacterized. NCBI's taxonomy places the organism in Eukaryota, Viridiplantae, Streptophyta, Magnoliopsida, Proteales, Proteaceae. The record is from RefSeq and is a predicted model, not a curated record. The transcript has 3 exons.
GCUUGGGAACGCCUCAUCAAGGCUAUGGCUAGUUGUGCUGCUUGAAAGCCCACCUUCGGUGCUGCUAUUGGUAUAUGAUGUUACUGUUUGACCAGACAAGAAAAAUGGGGACUUCCGUGUUAGAUCACAGCAAUAGACACUAGAGGAAAGAAGGUGGAAGGGGACAAAGGAAAGAGUAGAUCGUCUUCUUAUUGGUUCUCACUCUCAGUCGCCGCUUCCCUGCAACGGUCGCUCUCUCUUGGUCGCCGCUUCCCUGCAAUGGUCGCUCUCUCUCGGUCACCGCUUCCCUGCAACGGUCUCUCUCUCGGUCACCACUUCCCUGCCUCUCUCUCGGUCGCAGGUCGGUCACCGCUUCCCUACAACUCUCUCGGUCGUCGCUUCCCUACAGCAGGUAUUGUCUCUCUCUCUCGCUCUCUCGCUCUCUCGCUCUCUCACAAUCUCGCUCGAACUACUUUUUCGAUUGAGUUUUGAUUGAUUGCAGAAAGUAUUUCCUUUCCCUGUUUUACUUUUUUGGAGAUUUCUGAAUCUAUAUAGAUAGUGGAUUUGUUUUUCUUUUUAUUCUUCCUUUUGCCCUUUUUAGAAAAAUUGAUUAUUCCUGAGUUUCUCUCUCUCUCUCUCUCUCUCUCUCUCUCUCUCUCUCUCUCUCUCUCUCUCUCUCUCUCUCGCUCUUUCUUCCUGCUAUCUUGUUCAACCCCAAAUAAAUAUAAAAAAAAAAAGGUGGGGACUUGCUUCUUUUUUUUUCUUUCUGGGUUUUCAGCCAUUGAUGCUCUGGUUUAUUGCUUGAAAAGAAGAUUAAUUUUUUCAUCUUUAUAUUCCAAGUAAUUAAUAAAGGUAAAAUCUUUGAGCAUUUCUUCUUUUCUUGAUAUGUGUUUCUUAUUUCACUCUCGUUUCUUGCUUGGAUUUUGGGACAUCUGUAAAUUGCAGUGAUUUGGGAGAUUUUCUUGCUCUAAUAUUGGGAUUUUUGUGAAGUCUGAAAAGGUGUUUGGUAAAUUUUUUAUUUCUGUCUGGUUAUGGUGAUCUCUGUUCUUGACUGCUCAAGUUUCGUAGUUGCUUACUUUGAUCGAUCGUGAUGGGUUUCUGAAAAAUACCCAUUUGAGCAUAUUUCAUCAUUCUCAUCUUAAGAUUCUUAUUUAUUUAUCUGUUAAAUUUUAUCAUCAGCAAAGAUUGUCCAUUUAUAUUUAUGUGGCAAGGAAGAAAAAUUUCAGUGCUUAAUGAGAUUGAUAUUUUGGAUGAAGGUUGGUUGUGUAAAUUUCAGUGCUUAAUGAAAUUGAUAUUUUGGAGCUGGAAGAGGGCUUUUAUUAGGAUUUGAGUAUUCUAUUUUGAUGGGCAGCUAGGAAGAUCAAUUUGAAGUUCUUGGGCUUGAUGUAAACAAAUUAUUUCCUUAUUUAAGUUAAAUUUGACCAUAAUAGCAUGUUUGUAAUUAUUGAUUUCAUUGUUCAAAAGUGAAUUUUCAUUAUUGUACUC